AGCUCCAAGGGCGUAUAUUAAAGUUGUUGUGGUUAAAAAGCUCGUAGUUGAAUUUCGACUGAUUGUUAUUGAGAAUUGAACUAAGUUCAAUUUCUUUUUUAACAUUGAUCUUCUUUCUAAGUGACUUGUUCACUUAGAUAUUUUACUUUGAAAAAAUUAGAGUGUUUCAAGCAGACAAAUGUCUGGAUAUUACAGCAUGGAAUAAUGAAAAAAGACAUGAGCCUCAUUUUGUUGGUUUCUUUGGCUAGUGUAAUGACUAAUAGGGACAGUUGGGGUCGCUCGUAUUAGCUCGCUAGGGGUGAAAUCCUAUGAUUGAGUUAGGACGUACUACUGCGAAAGCAUUCGACCAGGAUGUCUUCA
This 360-nucleotide ribosomal RNA is filed under the name uncultured eukaryote. RNAcentral's name for it is "SSU rRNA". It matches the Rfam family "Eukaryotic small subunit ribosomal RNA", at positions 587 to 972 of the family's 1831-position model. The record is from RNAcentral.